ACUUAAAUAGUUUAAUAAAAAUAUUAAUUUGUGGAAUUGAAGUUAUAAAUUUAUUUUAAGUU
Molecule: transfer RNA, 62 nt
Filed under: Lagria rufipennis
Lineage: Eukaryota; Metazoa; Arthropoda; Insecta; Coleoptera; Tenebrionidae
Description: tRNA-His
Source: RNAcentral